GGGCCACGCUGUCCUGCCCACCGCUCACGGGUUUCUGGCUGGCUGGAUCCUCUUGGAUCCGUGACCCUAGACAGGAGCCUGGCAGACGGGGAGGACCGAACGCGGAAUCUCCCCCGGGACUUAGAGGUCCGGGGACUCUGGAAGUACGGGCGGGCUGUCCCGCAGACCGAGGGCUCCUAGUGGCCUGUGCGUGGGGCGGCUUCCCACGAGGUGGGUCCCCGGAUCUGCAGCGGGGGCAGGUCUCCAGGUUACGACCACGCUCUUCCAUGGUCGGAGAGUCUGGAAUAUGGAAAGUCCAGGGUCUUCCGGGGCUCAGGAUUUGAGAUUCCGAAUUAUCCUUAGUUCUGGAUUUUCUGUAGACCCAAAAUUCUCAAAGGUGUCUUUGGAGGCUGGAAUUUUUUGGCGGGAAGGGGUCCUGGAAAUAAGAGUAUGGAGUGUGGAGUUUACAAUUUGGACUGUGGGUAAGAAGAGGUGGGGCCAUUCCUCCUGAGGUUCAAAGAUCUCCACCUCUUGUGGAGACGUUUCAACUUCCCGGGGGACUUGAGUUCUCGCUUGAUCUCGGAAACCAGCAGGAUAAAAGCCGGGCACCCUGAGGGGAAGGGUUGUGUGGAGGUAAUUUCGGAAUUGGCUUAGCUGGGCCCGAAGCCCCUUCCCGCAUCACUUUGCAGCUUCCUGACCUGCUGCACCGGGAGCCUUCUGCCGCCUGUUUCCCAGCCACCUGUGCUGGAGAAAUGACUGAGAUCAAGAGUAUAUGCUGCUCUUGCAAAGGACCAGAGUUUGGUUCCUGGCACCCACCUGGCUCUCAGUUCUAUUACUGCAGCCCCAGAGGACGCAACCCUGCCUUCUGUCCUCUAUAGGGAACUGCAAUCCGUGUUCACACAGACAACAUAUACAUAAAUAAAAUCUGUUUUUAAAUUUAAAA
This is a long non-coding RNA of Mesocricetus auratus (golden hamster), 922 nucleotides long. RefSeq lists it as uncharacterized. NCBI's taxonomy places the organism in Eukaryota, Metazoa, Chordata, Mammalia, Rodentia, Cricetidae. The record is from RefSeq and is a predicted model, not a curated record. The transcript has 2 exons.